This 57-nucleotide transfer RNA is filed under the name Ovis aries (sheep). It matches the Rfam family "tRNA", at positions 8 to 63 of the family's 71-position model. From Rfam's summary of the family: Transfer RNA (tRNA) molecules are approximately 80 nucleotides in length. Their secondary structure includes four short double-helical elements and three loops (D, anti-codon, and T loops). Lineage: Eukaryota; Metazoa; Chordata; Mammalia; Artiodactyla; Bovidae. The record is from Rfam by way of RNAcentral.
UGGCUCAGUUGGUAUAGAAUCUGCCUGCAAUGCAGGAGACCCAGGUUCAAUCCCUGG